This is a non-coding RNA of Myotis lucifugus (little brown bat), 177 nucleotides long. NCBI's taxonomy places the organism in Eukaryota, Metazoa, Chordata, Mammalia, Chiroptera, Vespertilionidae. The record is from Rfam.
GGGUGUGAGUGCCAUCUGGCUGUGAAAUCAGUCACCUCAUUGAUUGCCAGGUUUGAUUCAGCUGAUCUGCUUGGCUAGAUGGUGUCCCUUUCUUCCUUUCACAUCCAUGGGCACUUCUCCUGAAGCUGUGAGAUCAGUAAAAGAAAACCUUCCCCAAAAGAGGAUGUUACUGUAAGA